GACGAACGCUGGCGGCGUGCCUAAUACAUGCAAGUUGAGCGCUGAAGGUUGGUACUUGUACCAACUGGAUGAGCAGCGAACGGGUGAGUAACGCGUGGGGAAUCUGCCUUUGAGCGGGGGACAACAUUUGGAAACGAAUGCUAAUACCGCAUAAAAACUUUAAACACAAGUUUUAAGUUUGAAAGAUGCAAUUGCAUCACUCAAAGAUGAUCCCGCGUUGUAUUAGCUAGUUGGUGAGGUAAAGGCUCACCAAGGCGAUGAUACAUAGCCGACCUGGGAGGGUGAUCGGCCACAUUGGGACUGAGACACGGCCCAAACUCCUACGGGAGGCAGCAGUAGGGAAUCUUCGGCAAUGGACGAAAGUCUGACCGAGCAACGCCGCGUGAGUGAAGAAGGUUUUCGGAUCGUAAAACUCUGUUGGUAGAGAAGAACGUUGGUGAGAGUGGAAAGCUCAUCAAGUGACGGUAACUACCCAGAAAGGGACGGCUAACUAC
RNAcentral lists this ribosomal RNA (494 nucleotides) under uncultured bacterium. RNAcentral's name for it is "partial 16S ribosomal RNA". It matches the Rfam family "Bacterial small subunit ribosomal RNA", at positions 28 to 504 of the family's 1533-position model. The record is from RNAcentral.